Molecule: transfer RNA, 66 nt
Filed under: Rossia macrosoma
Lineage: Eukaryota; Metazoa; Mollusca; Cephalopoda; Sepiida; Sepiolidae
Description: tRNA-Arg
Source: RNAcentral
AUAUAAGAAAUGAUAUAAUCAUAUAUGAUUUCGGCUCAUAGUUAGGUGUUAUCUCACCCUUAUAUU